NNNNNNNNNNNNNNNNNNNNNNNNNNNNNNNNNNCUCCCAUAGGAUCCUCCAAAGGGUCUGUUUCCGUAGGAUCCCCCAUAGGAUCCCCCGAAGGGUCUGGUCCCAUAGGAUCCCCCCCCAUAGGAUCCCCCAUAGGAUCCCCCGAAGGGUCCUGAUCCCUCCGCAUAAGCUACAGAUCCUCCCCCGCCUUGGGAUCCGGGUCUGCCUGAUCCGGACCCGAUUCCCCCUUGGGAUCCGGGUCUGUGUGAUCCAGAUCCGAUUCCUCCUUGGGAUCCGGGUCUGUCUGAUCCGGAUCCGAUUCCCCCUUGGGAUCCGGGUCUCUGUGAUCCAGAUCCACUGCCCCCUUGGGAUCCGCUGCCCCCUUGGGAUCCAGGUCUGCCUGAUCCAGAUCCACUGCCCCCUUGGGAUCCAGGUCUCUGUGAUCCGGAUCCACUGCCCCCUUGGGAUCCAGGUCUGCCUGAUCCAGACCCGAUUCCCCCUUGGGAUCCGGGUCUGUGUGAUCCAGAUCCGCUGCUUCCUUGGGAUCCACUGCCCCCUUGGGAUCCGGGUCUCCCUGAUGCAUAUCCACCUCCAUAGGAUCCCCCAUAGGAUCCCCCGGAGGGUCCAUUCCCGUAGGAUCCCCCAGAGGAUCCCCCAGAGGGUCCAUUCCCAUAGGAUCCCCCGUAGGAUCCCCCAGAGGAUCCCCCGUCAGAUCCCCCAUAGGAUCCCCCCCCUUGGGAUCCGGGUCUCCCUGAUGCAUAUCCACCUCCAUAGGAUCCCCCGUAGGAUCCCCCAGAGGGUCCAUUCCCGUAGGAUCCCCCAGAGGAUCCCCCAUAGGAUCCCCCCCCUUGGGAUCCGGAGCUGCUCCCGUACGAUCCGGCUCCCCCGUAGGAUCCCGGUCGGUCGCCGUAGGAUCCCGGCGCCCCGUAGGACUCGGCUGCUCCGGCGCCGUAGGUUCCGGGGGGGCCGUAGGAUCCCACCUCGCUGCCGGAGGAUCCCGGAUCGCUGCCGUAGGAUCCGGAGGGGCCGGAGGAUCCGCCCAGCUGGGGGCUGAGGAGCCCGGCGGGAUCCUGGCAGGGAUCCACCCCGGCCG
RNAcentral lists this long non-coding RNA (1073 nucleotides) under Dromaius novaehollandiae (emu). Its description in RNAcentral is "lncRNA (ENSDNVG00000016639.1)". Lineage: Eukaryota; Metazoa; Chordata; Aves; Casuariiformes; Dromaiidae. The record is from RNAcentral.